RNAcentral lists this long non-coding RNA (341 nucleotides) under Olea europaea (common olive). RNAcentral's name for it is "long non-coding RNA (OEUR_LNC014479)". The record is from RNAcentral. Lineage: Eukaryota; Viridiplantae; Streptophyta; Magnoliopsida; Lamiales; Oleaceae.
AGAGGCAAUGCGGACGUCACGGUGGGCUGUAUGCACCUCAGUCGUCAAAGUUCCCAUAGCUUGCUGGAGACUCUGCACAUCGCGGCUGAUCCCUGUGGUGGUGGUGAAAAUCUGCCUCAAAACCUGAUUGUCCAUAUCAAGCUGGGGUAGGGGUGGAGGAAUUUGAGGCAUGUCAAGGUCUGCAUCUGCUUGACCUUCCUCAUUCAAUUGCCGUCGUCGUCGUGCGUUUUCUAAUUUCUGUUGGUGCUUCAGUCUUACUCGGUCUUGGGCCUCUAGUGUGGAUUGCUUGAUAAAGGGGCUUGGCUUUUCUGGUGCUUCCCCGGGUUGGAUUUGUAUUCCCG